This 239-nucleotide ribosomal RNA is filed under the name uncultured bacterium. RNAcentral describes it as "partial 16S ribosomal RNA". It matches the Rfam family "Bacterial small subunit ribosomal RNA", at positions 122 to 355 of the family's 1533-position model. The record is from RNAcentral.
UAACCUGCCCAAGAGACUGGGAUAACACCUGGAAACAGAUGCUAAUACCGGAUAACAACACUAGACGCAUGUCUAGAGUUUAAAAGAUGGUUCUGCUAUCACUCUUGGAUGGACCUGCGGUGCAUUAGCUAGUUGGUAAGGCAACGGCUUACCAAGGCAUGAUGCAUAGCCGAGUUGAGAGACUGAUCGGCCACAUUGGGACUGAGACACGGCCCAAACUCCUACGGGAGGCAGCAGCC